This is a long non-coding RNA of Ostrea edulis (European flat oyster), 589 nucleotides long. RefSeq lists it as uncharacterized. The transcript has 3 exons. Lineage: Eukaryota; Metazoa; Mollusca; Bivalvia; Ostreida; Ostreidae. The record is from RefSeq and is a predicted model, not a curated record.
GGGUUGAACCUAAAUACCAUUUAAUUAAUUGUGAAACACAAAUCCCUAAAAAUUCAACCUCAAUCUGUCACGGUACAUGUGGCCUAUUAUAGGCAUAUCAACAAAAGACAAUAUUGUUUUAAAUGUUGGGGGAAAAAAUCGCAUAUUCAUCACAGCGAGUUCACAUUUUCUUUAUUCAUUUUUUUUUUCGUCUUAGGAUUUCCAGGUGUUGUGGGUUGUACUGAUGGGACUAUUAAUAAGAUUCAGGCUCCCAAAGAAAAUGAAGCUGAUUAUAUAUGUAGGAAAGGAUAUUACGCCCUCAACAUACAAAUGACAUGCGACCCACGGUAUCAAAUAAUUGACUUGGUGGCAAAGUGGCCAGGCAGUGUGCAUGAUUCAAGAAUAUUCCGUGAAUCAGCCUUAUGUACAUAUUUGGAAGAAGAUUGGAGUAGGUAGAAGGCAGAUUUGAGGAGAUGGAAGGCUGGCUCUUUGACAGAUCUGUGAAAAUUGUCAGACAAUAAAUUUUAGUAAUAAAAAAGUCAUAUACAUUUUCUUGGUGCCAAUGCACAGACUUCAAUAAUCUUAGAAUAAAAGUGCUCGUAUGCUUGUC